GGGGACGCCCCGGUUUCGACGGUGUUCGUGGACAGUGACGUGGCGAGCCGAGGAUGGUCGUUGGCCUCGUAAAUCAUCCGACCAAGCCUUUAACUGGCAACAACAGCGAUUCUUUCGCACUGGCUGCUUAAUCCCAGCCCAGCGACCGCAUAGCCCGGCCAUUGGCGCUGCGCGAGCUGACACAAAAGAUGGCUAGUUCUGUGCGUUGUCUCGGCGCACCGGGCGAAACUUAGAGACUUGACGCGAAGGCAGCCCGUUCUCAGGCGGCCCAGCGUUGAAACCUAAAUUGAGAACUACGCUCGUAGAAGCCCACUCAAGCAACAUCGGACGAGGGUUCGACUCCCUCCGUCUCCACCA
RNAcentral lists this transfer-messenger RNA (357 nucleotides) under Deinococcus aerophilus. Its description in RNAcentral is "Standard tmRNA". It matches the Rfam family "transfer-messenger RNA". From Rfam's summary of the family: Bacterial tmRNA, also known as 10Sa RNA or SsrA, is named for its dual tRNA and mRNA-like properties. Its role is to liberate the mRNA from a stalled ribosome. To accomplish this part of the tmRNA is used as a reading frame that ends in a translation stop signal. Lineage: Bacteria; Thermotogati; Deinococcota; Deinococci; Deinococcales; Deinococcaceae. The record is from RNAcentral.